CGUACACGGUGGAUGCCCUGGCAGUCAGAGGCGAUGAAGGGCGUGCUAAUCUGCGAUAAGCGCCGGUAAGGUGAUAUGAACCGUUAUAACCGGCGAUACCCGAAUGGGGAAACCCAGUGUGACUCGUCACACUAUCAUUAACUGAAUCCAUAGGUUAAUGAGGCGAACCGGGGGAACUGAAACAUCUAAGUACCCCGAGGAAAAGAAAUCAACCGAGAUUCCCCCAGUAGCGGCGAGCGAACGGGGAGGAGCCCAGAGCCUGAAUCAGCAUGUGUGUUAGUGGAAGCGUCUGGAAAGGCGCGCGAUACAGGGUGACAGCCCCGUACACAAAAGCGCAUGUGCUGUGAGCUCGAUGAGUAGGGCGGGACACGUGGUAUCCUGUCUGAAUAUGGGGGGACCAUCCUCCAAGGCUAAAUACUCCUGACUGACCGAUAGUGAACCAGUACCGUGAGGGAAAGGCGAAAAGAACCCCGGCGAGGGGAGUGAAAAAGAACCUGAAACCGUGUACGUACAAGCAGUGGGAGCACAGGUUUACCUGUGUGACUGCGUACCUUUUGUAUAAUGGGUCAGCGACUUAUAUUCUGUAGCAAGGUUAACCGAAUAGGGGAGCCGGAGGGAAACCGAGUCUUAAUUGGGCGUUAAGUUGCAGGGUAUAGACCCGAAACCCGGUGAUCUAGCCAUGGGCAGGUUGAAGGUUGGGUAACACUAACUGGAGGACCGAACCGACUAAUGUUGAAAAAUUAGCGGAUGACCUGUGGCUGGGGGUGAAAGGCCAAUCAAACCGGGAGAUAGCUGGUUCUCCCCGAAAGCUAUUUAGGUAGCGCCUCGUGAAUUCAUCUCCGGGGGUAGAGCACUGUUUCGGCUAGGGGGCCAUCCCGGCUUACCAACCCGAUGCAAACUGCGAAUACCGGAGAAUGUUAUCACGGGAGACACACGGCGGGUGCUAACGUCCGUCGUGAAGAGGGAAACAACCCAGACCGCCAGCUAAGGUCCCAAAGUCAUGGUUAAGUGGGAAACGAUGUGGGAAGGCCCAGACAGCCAGGAUGUUGGCUUAGAAGCAGCCAUCAUUUAAAGAAAGCGUAAUAGCUCACUGGUCGAGUCGGCCUGCGCGGAAGAUGUAACGGGGCUAAACCAUGCACCGAAGCUGCGGCAGCGACACUGUGUGUUGUUGGGUAGGGGAGCGUUCUGUAAGCCUGCGAAGGUGGCCUGUGAGGGUUGCUGGAGGUAUCAGAAGUGCGAAUGCUGACAUAAGUAACGAUAAAGCGGGUGAAAAGCCCGCUCGCCGGAAGACCAAGGGUUCCUGUCCAACGUUAAUCGGGGCAGGGUGAGUCGACCCCUAAGGCGAGGCCGAAAGGCGUAGUCGAUGGGAAACGGGUUAAUAUUCCCGUACUUGGUGUUACUGCGAAGGGGGGACGGAGAAGGCUAUGUUGGCCGGGCGACGGUUGUCCCGGUUUAAGCGUGUAGGUGUGUGUUCCAGGUAAAUCCGGUUCACUUUAACACUGAGGCGUGACGACGAGGCACUACGGUGCUGAAGCAACAAAUGCCCUGCUUCCAGGAAAAGCCUCUAAGCAUCAGGUAACAUCAAAUCGUACCCCAAACCGACACAGGUGGUCAGGUAGAGAAUACCAAGGCGCUUGAGAGAACUCGGGUGAAGGAACUAGGCAAAAUGGUGCCGUAACUUCGGGAGAAGGCACGCUGACACGUAGGUGAAGUGAUUUACUCAUGGAGCUGAAGUCAGUCGAAGAUACCAGCUGGCUGCAACUGUUUAUUAAAAACACAGCACUGUGCAAACACGAAAGUGGACGUAUACGGUGUGACGCCUGCCCGGUGCCGGAAGGUUAAUUGAUGGGGUCAGCGCAAGCGAAGCUCCUGAUCGAAGCCCCGGUAAACGGCGGCCGUAACUAUAACGGUCCUAAGGUAGCGAAAUUCCUUGUCGGGUAAGUUCCGACCUGCACGAAUGGCGUAAUGAUGGCCAGGCUGUCUCCACCCGAGACUCAGUGAAAUUGAACUCGCUGUGAAGAUGCAGUGUACCCGCGGCAAGACGGAAAGACCCCGUGAACCUUUACUAUAGCUUGACACUGAACAUUGAGCCUUGAUGUGUAGGAUAGGUGGGAGGCUUUGAAGUGUGGACGCCAGUCUGCAUGGAGCCGACCUUGAAAUACCACCCUUUAAUGUUUGAUGUUCUAACGUGGACCCGUUACCCGGGUUGCGGACAGUGUCUGGUGGGUAGUUUGACUGGGGCGGUCUCCUCCUAAAGAGUAACGGAGGAGCACGAAGGUUGGCUAAUCCUGGUCGGACAUCAGGAGGUUAGUGCAAUGGCAUAAGCCAGCUUGACUGCGAGCGUGACGGCGCGAGCAGGUGCGAAAGCAGGUCAUAGUGAUCCGGUGGUUCUGAAUGGAAGGGCCAUCGCUCAACGGAUAAAAGGUACUCCGGGGAUAACAGGCUGAUACCGCCCAAGAGUUCAUAUCGACGGCGGUGUUUGGCACCUCGAUGUCGGCUCAUCACAUCCUGGGGCUGAAGUAGGUCCCAAGGGUAUGGCUGUUCGCCAUUUAAAGUGGUACGCGAGCUGGGUUUAGAACGUCGUGAGACAGUUCGGUCCCUAUCUGCCGUGGGCGCUGGAGAACUGAGGGGGGCUGCUCCUAGUACGAGAGGACCGGAGUGGACGCAUCACUGGUGUUCGGGUUGUCAUGCCAAUGGCACUGCCCGGUAGCUAAAUGCGGAAGAGAUAAGUGCUGAAAGCAUCUAAGCACGAAACUUGCCCCGAG
This 2765-nucleotide ribosomal RNA is filed under the name Salmonella enterica subsp. enterica serovar Enteritidis. RNAcentral's name for it is "partial 23S ribosomal RNA". It matches the Rfam family "Bacterial large subunit ribosomal RNA". The record is from RNAcentral. Lineage: Bacteria; Pseudomonadati; Pseudomonadota; Gammaproteobacteria; Enterobacterales; Enterobacteriaceae.